GACGAACGCUGGCGGCGUGCUUAACACAUGCAAGUCGAACGGAAAGGCCCUGCUUUUGUGGGGUGCUCGAUUGGCGAACGGGUGAGUAACACGUGAGUAUCCUCCCCUUGACUUUGGGAUAACUUCAUGAAACUCGGGCUCUUACCCGAUAUGAGCCCCCGCUCCAUGUUGGUUGUUGGAAAGUUUCGGCGCUUGGGUCUGGACUCGCGGCUUCCCCGCUUGCUUGUGGGGUAGUGUCUUACCAAGGCUUUGACGGGUAGGCGGCCUGCGAGGGGGGACGGGCACAAUGGGACUGAGAGACGGACCAGACGGCUACGGGAGGCAGCAGUGGGGAAUAUUGCACAAUGGGCGGAAGCCUGAGGAAGCAACGCCGGGAGCGGGAUGACGGCCUGCGGGUGGAAAACCGCUGUCGCCGGUGACGAAGCGGGAGUGACGGUAAUGGGUAAAGAAGCAACGGCUAACUACGUG
Molecule: ribosomal RNA, 468 nt
Filed under: uncultured bacterium
Lineage: Bacteria
Description: partial 16S ribosomal RNA
Rfam family: Bacterial small subunit ribosomal RNA
Source: RNAcentral